CAGGCCUAACACAUGCAAGUCGAGCGAGAUCUUCGGGUCUAGCGGCGGACGGGUGAGUAACGCGUGGGAACGUGCCCUUUGCUACGGAAUAGUCCUGGGAAACUGGGGGUAAUACCGUAUACGCCCUUUUGGGGAAAGAUUUAUCGGCGAAGGAUCGGCCCGCGUUGGAUUAGGUAGUUGGUGGGGUAAUGGCCUACCAAGCCGACGAUCCAUAGCUGGUUUGAGAGGAUGAUCAGCCACACUGGGACUGAGACACGGCCCAGACUCCUACGGGAGGCAGCAGUGGGGAAUCUUAGACAAUGGGGGCAACCCUGAUCUAGCCAUGCCGCGUGAGUGAUGAAGGCCUUAGGGUUGUAAAGCUCUUUCAGCUGGGAAGAUAAUGACGGUACCAGCAGAAGAAGCCCCGGCUAACUCCGUGCCAGCAGCCGCGGUAAU
RNAcentral lists this ribosomal RNA (435 nucleotides) under uncultured bacterium. RNAcentral describes it as "bacterial SSU rRNA". It matches the Rfam family "Bacterial small subunit ribosomal RNA", at positions 43 to 524 of the family's 1533-position model. The record is from RNAcentral.